Molecule: ribosomal RNA, 463 nt
Filed under: uncultured bacterium
Lineage: Bacteria
Description: bacterial SSU rRNA
Rfam family: Bacterial small subunit ribosomal RNA
Source: RNAcentral
GACGAACGCUGGCGGCAUGCCUAAUACAUGCAAGUCGAGCGAAUGAAUGUUGGAGCUUGCUCCUUCAUUCGUUAGCGGCGGAUGGGUGAGUAACACGUGGGCAACCUGCCCUGCAGAUGGGGAUAACUCCGGGAAACCGGAGCUAAUACCGAAUAAUUAAUAUGUUCGCAUGAACAUAUUCUGAAAGACGGUUUCGGCUGUCACUGCAGGAUGGGCCCGCGGCGCAUUAGCUAGUUGGUGGGAUAAUGGCCUACCAAGGCAACGAUGCGUAGCCGACUGAGAGGGUGAUCGGCCACACUGGGACUGAGACACGGCCCAGACUCCUACGGGAGCAGCAGUAGGGAAUCUUCACAAUGACGAAGUCUGAUGGAGCAAUGCCGCGUGAGUGAAGAAGUUUUCGGAUCGUAAAGCUCUGUUGUGAGGGAAGAACAAGUACGGGAGUAACUGUCCGUACCUUGACGGU